Long non-coding RNA from Gossypium arboreum, 353 nucleotides. RefSeq lists it as uncharacterized. The transcript has 2 exons. The record is from RefSeq and is a predicted model, not a curated record. Lineage: Eukaryota; Viridiplantae; Streptophyta; Magnoliopsida; Malvales; Malvaceae.
AUUAGUGGAUGAGAAAAACUUCCUAUCAUCUUCUCUUAUCCCCGAAAUCAUAAGAAAGAAAAAAAAAAAAAGAGAAAUUUUCUCUUCUUCAUUUUUCCUUGCCGUCCAACAAAAUUAACUAAGCUAAAGAUGACGUUGGGCCAUCCGAAGAGAAAGGAAAGGCGAGAGUCGUAAACGAAUGACGAUUAGGGUUUGUACUUUCAUUAUUUGAAUUCAAUUUAUAUAUGUCUUGUUACAAACUAGCUUAUUUAAGGUAAGAAUCCUAUUUAUCUCAUGGUUUAGUUUGUAUAUGAUGAUAUGGAAUGUUUUAAAUUGAAUUGAGACAAGCAUGGUAUAAAUGAGCAUUAUAGAAA